AACGAACGCUGGCGGCAUGCCUAACACAUGCAAGUCGAACGAGACCUUCGGGUCUAGUGGCGCACGGGUGCGUAACGCGUGGGAACCUGCCCUUAGGUUCGGAAUAACUCCCCGAAAGGGGUGCUAAUACCGGAUAAUGUCUUCGGACCAACGAUUUAUCGCCGUUGGAUGGGCCCGCGUUGGAUUAGCUAGUUGGUAGGGUAAAAGCCUACCAAGGCGACGAUCCAUAGCUGGUCUGAGAGGAUGAUCAGCCACACUGGGACUGAGACACGGCCCAGACUCCUACGGGAGGCAGCAGUGGGGAAUAUUGGACAAUGGGCGAAAGCCUGAUCCAGCAAGGCCGCGUGAGUGAUGAAGGCCUUAGGGUUGUAAAGCUCUUUUACCCGGGAUGAUAAUGACAGUACCGGGAGAAUAAGCUCCGGCUAACUCCGUG
This 433-nucleotide ribosomal RNA is filed under the name uncultured bacterium. Its description in RNAcentral is "partial 16S ribosomal RNA". It matches the Rfam family "Bacterial small subunit ribosomal RNA", at positions 29 to 507 of the family's 1533-position model. The record is from RNAcentral.